This 357-nucleotide ribosomal RNA is filed under the name Triticum aestivum (bread wheat). Its description in RNAcentral is "partial small subunit ribosomal RNA". Lineage: Eukaryota; Viridiplantae; Streptophyta; Magnoliopsida; Poales; Poaceae. The record is from RNAcentral.
AUGGCAAAAUAUUGGUGGAGUAGUUCUCUCGACCGGUUCUCUCUGCACUGGGUUGAUUGGCAAACACUUGCAUCACCGAAGGUACAAGGAGGGAUGGGUUUUCGGAAUCUUGAGAUGUUUAAUUUAGCCGUGCUAGGUAAGCAUGGAUGGAGAUUGGUCACAAGCCCAGACUCUCUCUGUGGUCGGGUGUUGAAGGGGAAGUAUUUCCCUCUCACGGACUUUAUGCAUGCCACUGUACCAAAUAACGCCUUGGCUACCUAGCGUGCUAUUAUAGCAGGAAGGGAGGCGCUCAAAGUUGGUUUGAUCGAGCGAAUUGGGGAUGGUUCCUCGGUGUCGAUCUGGAAUGAUACUUGGAUC